GAUGAGUGGAGGUUUAGUGCAUGUUUCCACAUCAUGACUAGAUCCACACUCAUCCA
This 56-nucleotide microRNA precursor is filed under the name Heliconius melpomene (postman butterfly). Lineage: Eukaryota; Metazoa; Arthropoda; Insecta; Lepidoptera; Nymphalidae. The record is from RNAcentral.